This 467-nucleotide ribosomal RNA is filed under the name uncultured bacterium. RNAcentral describes it as "partial 16S ribosomal RNA". It matches the Rfam family "Bacterial small subunit ribosomal RNA", at positions 29 to 507 of the family's 1533-position model. The record is from RNAcentral.
ACGAACGCUGGCGGCGUGCUUAACACAUGCAAGUCGAACGGAAAGGCCCUGCUUUUGUGGGGUGCUCGAGUGGCGAACGGGUGAGUAACACGUGAGUAACCUGCCCUUGACUUUGGGAUAACUUCAGGAAACUGGGGCUAAUACCGGAUAGGAGCUCCUGCUGCAUGGUGGGGGUUGGAAAGUUUCGGCGGUUGGGGAUGGACUCGCGGCUUAUCAGCUUGUUGGUGGGGUAGUGGCUUACCAAGGCUUUGACGGGUAGCGGGCCUGAGAGGGGGGCCGGCCACAUUGGGACUGAGAUACGGCCCAGACUCCUACGGGAGGCAGCAGUGGGGAAUAUUGCACAAUGGUCGGGAGCCUGAUGCAGCAACGCCGCGUGCGGGAUGACGGCCUUCGGGUUGUAAACCGCUUUCGCCUGUGACGAAGCGUGAGUGACGGUAAUGGGUAAAGAAGCACCGGCUAACUACGUG